This 501-nucleotide ribosomal RNA is filed under the name uncultured bacterium. Its description in RNAcentral is "partial 16S ribosomal RNA". It matches the Rfam family "Bacterial small subunit ribosomal RNA", at positions 30 to 523 of the family's 1533-position model. The record is from RNAcentral.
AUUGAACGCUGGCGGCAGGCUUAACACAUGCAAGUCGAGCGGAGAUGAGGUGCUUGCACCUUAUCUUAGCGGCGGACGGGUGAGUAAUGCUUAGGAAUCUGCCUAUUAGUGGGGGACAACAUUCCGAAAGGAAUGCUAAUACCGCAUACGCCCUACGGGGGAAAGCAGGGGAUCUUCGGACCUUGCGCUAAUAGAUGAGCCUAAGUCGGAUUAGCUAGUUGGUGGGGUAAAGGCCUACCAAGGCGACGAUCUGUAGCGGGUCUGAGAGGAUGAUCCGCCACACUGGGACUGAGACACGGCCCAGACUCCUACGGGAGGCAGCAGUGGGGAAUAUUGGACAAUGGGCGGAAGCCUGAUCCAGCCAUGCCGCGUGUGUGAAGAAGGCCUUUUGGUUGUAAAGCACUUUAAGCGAGGAGGAGGCUACCUCGAUUAAUACUCUAGGAUAGUGGACGCUACUCGCAGAAUAAGCACCGGCUAACUCUGUGCCAGCAGCCGCGGUAA